Molecule: non-coding RNA, 209 nt
Organism: Pelobates cultripes (western spadefoot toad)
Lineage: Eukaryota; Metazoa; Chordata; Amphibia; Anura; Pelobatidae
Source: the annotation of a GenBank genome assembly
GUUUCUGCUUGAAUUUGUUUGCAAGAUGUCAGAAUAGCCUCCCAGAGCUGCUGUUUGGAUGUAAACUGCCUCCCACCCUCAUAGAUCUUUUGCUUGAGGAUGCUCCAAAGGUUCUCAAUAGGAUUGAGGUUAGGGGAGGAUGGAAGCCACACCAUGACUUUCUCUCCUUUUAUCCCCAUAGCAGCCAUUGAUGCAGAGGUAUUCUUUGC